GCAUAGCGAUACUUAAAAGACAUUUAAUAUAACAAAAUUUUUUAAUUGAAAAAAGCUUUCGUACAACUCCAAAAAUUCUAAAAAUUAUUUAAUAGUAAAUCUAAUGUGGAUGAUUUUCACAUUCCAAAUAAAGCGAUCCAACAAUUUUCUAAUUAUUACAUGCAAAAAGAUAUGAUUAAGUUUUUCAAAUUGGGUUAUGCAAUAGUUCUCUUUCUUUGCUUCUUUAUUGUUGUAACUGACACAUACAUUUUGAAUUGUACGCUUCCUAAAUAUCCAAUUUGCAAUUCAAGUGGUAAGUGUCACUGCAGUUAAGUUUAAAAAUGAUGCUUUACUUGUCACAUGACAAACUAAUAAGCAUGUUUCUUGUGUUAUCCUAGUUUUGUAACCUUUGUUCUAUUUUAGAAUAAAAGGAAAGCAUAAAUAUCACCAGACAAAUUACAUUGUAAAUGUAAACUAUGCAAAUGAAUACAUAAGUAUUCUUUUAUUCUGCUUUUGCUUUUAGCAUAA
This is a long non-coding RNA of Cicer arietinum (chickpea), 507 nucleotides long. RefSeq lists it as uncharacterized. Lineage: Eukaryota; Viridiplantae; Streptophyta; Magnoliopsida; Fabales; Fabaceae. The record is from RefSeq and is a predicted model, not a curated record.